Molecule: long non-coding RNA, 3918 nt
Filed under: Marmota monax (woodchuck)
Lineage: Eukaryota; Metazoa; Chordata; Mammalia; Rodentia; Sciuridae
Source: RNAcentral
UGUCAGCUGCCAGUGAGUCCUAUCCAGCAGGGCACACACUUGCUGAAAAAGGACCUGCCCUGACAGCCAUGAUGCAUUUAUCUUGCUCCUCAGCCAAGACCAUUAAAUAGUAUGGAGCCAACCUUGACCUUGUAUUUAUUACGUGGGACUCUUGACAGGUUCCUGCUUGAAACAUGCCACUGCUACCAUUGAGAAACAAAACAAAGGUCCCUCUCCAUCCUUUGCCACAAUGCUCUUUUCUAUAUUUUGCUUUCAUUGAGCUUUUCAGAAUGGACUUGUGCUCAGUGCUUCAUCUUUCUCACAGAGGACGUCCUCAUUGUAGUUGGGUCAUGCAUGAAGUACCCCUUCUGGACUCUGGAACAGCAUCACUGUCUUGCAGGUAGGUGAUUAUUUAUAGUUUCCAUGAUUUUCUUCAUUAUUCAGAUCAAGGUGACCAGGAAUUGUGGUCUGUGCUUGACAGGUAAAGCUGGGCCCUAAGAACUGAAGUGACCUGUGAGUUCCCCUCAUUUAAGAGUGAAGCUGGUGAGUUAAGUGACUAUUGGUAAGGAGCAAAUGGGCACUCAAGGUGGAGAGUCAUGUGAGCCUGCUUAGAAAGAGAGGAGCAGGCUCUGGGGGAGCCACAAAGGGUGGGGGCAGUAGAUAGCAGAUUGGGGUAGCCUGGCAGGGCUGGACAUGCAGUGGUCAGAGAUCUGAAUGUCCUCCUGCUCCCUGAGGGUGAACCCAUGGGCCAAGCAUAUCUGUUCAGCCAGGGAAGUGUACAGAGUGGAUCUGGAAGAGCUCCUGGAAGAUUCCAGCACAACCAGUGAGGCUAACGCCAGACACCCUGCAUCCUGUCUCUCCUCACUUUGGCCAAUGGCUCUCAGGAGAGAACUGUGUAUAUCUAGCCUUGGGAGCUGACAGGCACAGGCCCACACCUCGUGGUUAUGUCGGGGACAGUAGAAGGACAUAGCUUUGGCAUCGUGCUGAAGAAUGAAAGAGAAAAUGUCUGAGAAGCUGGGUGAGUGCUCAACAAAUAGUGGACAUUCUUGUCACUGAGCCCAUGUUGACUUACAUAACUUACAAUAACAGCAGCCAAGGAGAUUUUCCAGGUUUGGUCUCAUCUCAUCUGGGAGCUACGGAUUUGCCAUGAAGUGCUUUUAGAGCUUUGUCUCAACAACUUUAGGCCUUGUGAUACAAAUUAUUAUUUGGACAAAUCUCACAGAUUUGGCAGCUGUACCAACCUUCUUCUGGGCAUACGGAGAGGCUCCAGACAUGCGGAAUAGAGAGGAUGGGAUAAAAUAAAAUGCAUGGAACACUGUGGAACGAGUGGGACUCUGCCAACCUUGGAAGUUCCAUCUUGAUGGUGCUCUGUGAUGGAGGGGGUCUCCUGUUGACACCUCACUACACCCACCUGCCUGCUGUUCACACUUAGCACUCUGGCUCCAUGCAUCCUUUGGGGAGAAUGUACUAUAGAAACAUGGCAAGAGAAGGUUGGGGCAGGCCAGCAAGAGAGGAAAAUCAGGGGCAUGUGCCUCUCAGAAGGCUGAGCAGGAUGACCUUGGAAGGAAAGGGGAGGAGAGAUGGGGAAGGUGGUUAGAGAAAGUAUUUUUUUGUUGUUGGGGAUGGGGGGGUUCCAUGUGUGAUGACACUGCAGAUGGGAACACAAUGGAUAGAACGUUUGAAUAGGUAAACGAGAGAAAGCAUCCAGCUUUAGCCAAUAACACCUUCCUGAGAGCUUCCAUUUUGGAAGAAUUUCCACCCCUUAAAAUCCUUCACAGGCACAGGAAGGGAUGUGAGUCUUCUGCACCUUCUGAAGAGAGCCAUCUGUAUCUGCGGGUACUUCUCUUGUCUUCAGUGACCUGGGAUAGCCAGAUUCACCAUCCACUUGUUUUAAUGUUCAUCAGUCCUGUGGGAUAUGAGGAUCCCUCUAGUGUUCGUUAUUUAAAUACUCCUUCUGUGUGAAUAGAGUAACAAGUGAAAAAGCACUAACGUAUACAUGUUACAAAGACAAUACCAGCAUGACAGCCUCUCAUGUCACAAAAAGGGGCAUCGCUGGCCCCAGAAGCCCUCCCUAGCCACAUCCCUCCCUAUUUUAUAGACAAACUGUGACUCAGAUAAUGUAGCCACCCAGGAUCGCACUGAAGGGGCUUCUGCACCAGCCCCUGCAGCUCCAUUCGGUUCUUCUGUUUCCUGAGUUUCCAUCUCACUCCUCAUCCAUUGGACUGCCGGAUCCUGCUCUGCUGUUUCACAGGAGCUGAUUUUUUUUUUUUUUCAGAAAAUUUGCAAUCCAAUGAAUGUAAUUUUGAUGGUGUAAAACAAGUUAUGGUAGGAAUACUUACACCAUGGAAACUGGCAAAGUGUUUUUUUAAUGUAUCAGAGCAUAAGUCUGUCCUCACCUCAUUCCUCCCUUGGAUUGCAUUAUUAGCAGGUCUUGGCUGUAGUCUCACAUUUAGAAUGAUCCUGGGGGCUUCUACAUCUCCUAGCACAUAUCCAAAAUAAGUAAAACAGAUAUUUGAAGGUGGGACCCAGGCACCAGAUCCCUUUUUAAAAAACCCCACCUAGGUGAUAAUAAUGUGCCACCAAUAUUGCAAACCAUUGCAUUAGAUGAAUGACUGCUAUUAAUUAGAAAAUGAGGAUAAGCUAAUAGCAGCUAUGUCCACUGUCCAGCUAUACACUGAGGGAAUAAAUAAAAGCAACCCCUCAUUAGCAACAAUGCAGAUCAGGAAACACCUGUGGGAACACUGAACUCAAAAAGUACUCUAAGAAUAAAAAAGGACAGGACAAAAUACAAGAGGAACAUGGGAAAAAAGGUAGUAGCUAUGAAGAAAGGAAAGAUAUGAUCUAAAACAGACAAAUAAUUUAAAAAUUAGAAAAAUUGGGGCUGGGGUUGUAGGUCAGUGGUGGAGUGCUUGCCUAGCACAUGUGAGGCACUGGAUUCAAUCCUGAGCACCACAUAAAAAUAAAAAAAUAAAGAUAUUGUGUCCAUCUACAACUAAAGAAUAUUUUUAAAAAAUUUAUAAAAAACUUGAGCAGAAUAAAUCCAACAUAAUUAAAUAAAGUAUUCUGAGGCUAAAUGAUACAGAGAAAUUGAAUAAUUACCUCCCAGCUCCUCAGGGGGUUGAGACAGGAGCAACACUUAAGCCCAGGAGUUUGAGGCCAACCUGGGCAACAUAGCAAGACCCCAUCUCAAGGGAAAAACAAAAAACAUAAAAACCCAAGUUCCAAGUGAAAUAAAGAGCUCGGAAAUACAUUCUGAGAGCAUUUCUAAAUUUAAAUAGAAAUGAGUGGACAUCAUAGUCAUCUACCCUCCUCCAAGUAAAAAGAUUCAGGUUAGCUUUGCAAGUGUGAACAAUGUUUACUCUUACUACUUUAAGCCGCUGCUCUUAAGGUUGAUCGGUCUUACCUGAGAUUUUCUUUUUAAGACUUUUCAAAGCACCACUGAAGUAUUGUGAAUUCUGUUUUAUAUCUUUUCUUUUUCUUUCAACUUUAUAAUAUUCCUCCUUCCACUUUAUUUGUAUAUACUUUGCUGGGCUUUUUUUUUUUCUAUUUUCUUUGAAUGUUUGGUUUACACAUUUUCAGACUUUCUUUUCUAAUAAUUUAGCCCUAUAUUUCUCCAAAAAUCACUUUUGUUUACUGUAAACAAUAUAUCGAUUAUUAUUUGAAGUGUUUUCUAAUUUCCAAUUAAACUUCGUCUGAACUUUCAGUUUAAAGGAGCAUUUUAAAUUCUCUAAUGCAUGCAUUUUAAAGUGUCUUUUUGUUAUUGACUUUCAACAAUUGCACUGUGGUCAGAAAAUAUGCUCUUUUUGAUAUUGAUUCAUCAAAAUAAACUAAGACUUGAUUAAUAUCCAAGAACAUGAGUACUUUCUGGCAAUGUUCUGUAUUCUUAUAUGUGUAUGAAAGACCCGCCGAUUCCCUGUCCAAGAAAGACGCACGAGGCAC